This 398-nucleotide RNase P RNA is filed under the name Spirochaetales bacterium. RNAcentral's name for it is "RNase P RNA component class A". It matches the Rfam family "Bacterial RNase P class A". Rfam says of the family: Ribonuclease P (RNase P) is a ubiquitous endoribonuclease, found in archaea, bacteria and eukarya as well as chloroplasts and mitochondria. Its best characterised activity is the generation of mature 5'-ends of tRNAs by cleaving the 5'-leader elements of precursor-tRNAs. Lineage: Bacteria; Pseudomonadati; Spirochaetota; Spirochaetia; Spirochaetales. The record is from RNAcentral.
AAGGCAGGCCAGGCCGCCGCUUUUCCGUGUCCGCACGGGAGGGAGGAAAGUCCGGGCUCCUUAAGAGCGCGGUACCGGGUAACCCCCGGACGCCGCGGGGGGGCGAUAGUUUUCCCGCGGCGAUAGAAAGUGCCACAGAAAAUAUACCGCCCGCGCGCUCCGCGCGCGGGUAAGGGUGAAAAGGCGGUGUAAGAGACCGCCGCCUCUCCGGCAACGGGGAGGGCAGGGCAAACCUUACCGGGAGCAAAGUCAAGAAGCGGAAGAGCUGCUCGCUCUCAUAUUCCGCGGGUAGACUGCCAGACGGUUACGGUAACGUAACCGGCAGACAGAUGACGGCCCCCGGUUUUUUCCUCCGGAAAAAACCGGGACAGAACCCGGCUUACCGGCCUGCCUUUUUU